AGCGCCCUGCGCCCCUUUCCUCUUCCUCCUGCCUCCUCGUAGGCUGGAGUGCAGCGGCAUGAACAGGGCUCCCUGCAGCCCCAACUUCCUGGGCCCAAGUGAUCCUCAUGCCUCAGCCUUCUGAGUAGCUGGGACUACAGGCACAUGUCACCACACCUGGCUAAUUUAUUUCUAAUUUUUGUUGUUGUUGAGAUGAGGUCUUGCUAUGUUGCUCAGGCUGGUCUUAAACUCCUGGGCAACUCUGGGACAUGGUUAAAGAGAUGUUUCACAAGUAACAGCAUGCUGUAGAAACCCUGAACCCCAAACUUACGGAUCCUCAGGAACACCCCAGACUUUAGAAGGAAAGUCAGAAGGUGCUGACACAGGUGCAUAACUAAAGGGAAAUCCUUCUUUCUCAGCUCCAACCAUGGCUGUGAGCUUCAUUCACACUGACUUAAAAAAAAAAAUCUCAGCUGUUUACUUAAAAGUAAAUAGCUUUUUCUAUAAUUCUGGUUUGCUAAUUUAAUUCUAAUCUCCAGACUCUGGCAAAAUACAUGCUCACUUUUUUUUUCUUUUUCUUUCUUUCUUUUUUUU
This 573-nucleotide long non-coding RNA is filed under the name Homo sapiens (human). RNAcentral describes it as "HSALNT0253773". Lineage: Eukaryota; Metazoa; Chordata; Mammalia; Primates; Hominidae. The record is from RNAcentral.